This is a small nucleolar RNA of Diospyros lotus (date-plum), 107 nucleotides long. Lineage: Eukaryota; Viridiplantae; Streptophyta; Magnoliopsida; Ericales; Ebenaceae. The record is from RefSeq and is a predicted model, not a curated record.
AGACCAUGGUGUGGACACUGUCUUUGCAAUUUCUUAAACCUAUACCAUGCCUCAUACAAAGAUUCGCCAUUAAAUUGAACAAAACUAGUAAUAUUAGUCAUGAGUUU